This is a small nuclear RNA of Mesocricetus auratus (golden hamster), 68 nucleotides long. NCBI's taxonomy places the organism in Eukaryota, Metazoa, Chordata, Mammalia, Rodentia, Cricetidae. The record is from Ensembl.
GUGCUCGCUUCGGCAGCACACAUACCAAAAUUGGAAUAAUACAGAGAAGAUUAGCAUGGCCCCUGGGC